AAUCAACGCUGGCGGCGUGCCUCAGACAUGCAAGUCGAACGAUUAAAGCUCUCUUCGGAGAGUGUAUAGAGUGGCGCACGGGUGAGUAACACGUAAGUAAUCUACCUUCGAGUGGGGAAUAACAGUCGGAAACGACUGCUAAUACCGCAUAAUGCAGCGGCAUCGCAAGAUGACAGUUGUUAAAGGAAUUUAUUUCGCUUGAAGAGGAGCUUGCGGCAGAUUAGCUAGUUGGUAAGGUAAUGGCUUACCAAGGCUACGAUCUGUAACCGGUCUAAGAGGACGGUCGGUCACACUGACACUGAAUAACGGGUCAGACUCCUACGGGAGGCAGCAGUCGGGAAUUUU
RNAcentral lists this ribosomal RNA (345 nucleotides) under uncultured bacterium. Its description in RNAcentral is "bacterial SSU rRNA". It matches the Rfam family "Bacterial small subunit ribosomal RNA", at positions 32 to 365 of the family's 1533-position model. The record is from RNAcentral.